RNAcentral lists this ribosomal RNA (253 nucleotides) under uncultured microorganism. RNAcentral's name for it is "partial 16S ribosomal RNA". It matches the Rfam family "Bacterial small subunit ribosomal RNA", at positions 524 to 776 of the family's 1533-position model. The record is from RNAcentral.
GACAGAGGUGGCAAGCGUUGCUCGGAUUCACUGGGCUUAAAGGGCGCGUAGGUGGUCUUGUAAGUCAAAGGUGGAAUUCCACAGCUCAACUGUGGAACUGCCUUUGAUACUGCAAGGCUUGAGUCAGGUAGAGGAGGGCGGAAUUCCCGGUGUAGCGGUGAAAUGCGUAGAUAUCGGGAGGAAGGCCGGUGGCGAAGGCGGCCCUCUGGGCCUGUACUGACACUGAGGCGCGAAAGCGUGGGGAGCAAACAGG